RNAcentral lists this ribosomal RNA (450 nucleotides) under uncultured bacterium. RNAcentral describes it as "bacterial SSU rRNA". It matches the Rfam family "Bacterial small subunit ribosomal RNA", at positions 354 to 796 of the family's 1533-position model. The record is from RNAcentral.
GUGGGGAAUAUUGGACAAUGGGCGAAAGCCUGAUCCAGCCAUGCCGCGUGUGUGAAGAAGGUCUUCGGAUUGUAAAGCACUUUAAGUUGGGAGGAAGGGCAGUAAGUUAAUACCUUGCUGUUUUGACGUUACCGACAGAAUAAGCACCGGCUAACUUCGUGCCAGCAGCCGCGGUAAUACGAAGGGUGCAAGCGUUAAUCGGAAUUACUGGGCGUAAAGCGCGCGUAGGUGGUUUUGUAAGUUGGAGGUGAAAUCACCGGGCUCAACCUGGGAACUGCCUCCAAAACUGCAUGACUAGAGUACGGUAGAGGGUAGUGGAAUUUCCUGUGUAGCGGUGAAAUGCGUAGAUAUAGGAAGGAACACCAGUGGCGAAGGCGACUACCUGGACUGAUACUGACACUGAGGUGCGAAAGCGUGGGGAGCAAACAGGAUUAGAUACCCUUGUAGUCC